RNAcentral lists this non-coding RNA (202 nucleotides) under Candidatus Woesebacteria bacterium GW2011_GWA1_40_43. Lineage: Bacteria; Candidatus Woeseibacteriota. The record is from RNAcentral. RNAcentral also lists the same sequence under 1 other name.
AUAAAAUCUUUGAGAAAGAUGAAAAAUUUAGAGGUUAAAAUGUCUAAAUUUAAUAGUUAUCCAAAGAUGUCUGACCCCGUAACGACUGAAGCUUAAGUGCUGAGAUAUAAGUUUAAUACACUUAUAUAAGAUGCCAACUCCUAUAUUACCCCUUUGGGUGGUGUAGGUUGAAGAUAUAGUCUGCGCCAUUAGUAAUAAUGGA